Molecule: transfer RNA, 72 nt
Filed under: Candidatus Woesearchaeota archaeon
Lineage: Archaea; Nanobdellati; Candidatus Woesearchaeota
Description: tRNA-Arg
Rfam family: tRNA
About the family: Transfer RNA (tRNA) molecules are approximately 80 nucleotides in length. Their secondary structure includes four short double-helical elements and three loops (D, anti-codon, and T loops).
Source: RNAcentral
GCCCCUAUGGUCUAGUGGACAUGAUAAGAUCCUCCGGAGAUCUUGACCCGGGUUCGAAUCCCGGUAGGGGCA